AUAUAAGCAAAAAUUCACUUUUUAGAUACAUUCAAUUAAUGAUGUAUAUGGUCUUUAUUAUAUGUCACAUGCAUCAUUAAUUGAAUGUAUCUAAAUUGUGAAUUUUUGCUUAUAU
Molecule: microRNA precursor, 115 nt
Organism: Medicago truncatula (barrel medic)
Lineage: Eukaryota; Viridiplantae; Streptophyta; Magnoliopsida; Fabales; Fabaceae
Rfam family: MIR2593 microRNA precursor family
Source: Rfam